RNAcentral lists this long non-coding RNA (1174 nucleotides) under Homo sapiens (human). Its description in RNAcentral is "HSALNT0325618". Lineage: Eukaryota; Metazoa; Chordata; Mammalia; Primates; Hominidae. The record is from RNAcentral.
GUGCUGGGAUUACAGGCAUGAGCCACCGCUCCCGGCCCGGCAGGCCCCCUAGAAGAUGCCAAUCAAAAUAAACUGCAUUCUUGAGACACAGGGCAAGAAAUUAAAGCUAUCCACCUCCUCAAGGCCCAGGGACUACGUGGAAGAGACAUCGAGUCAUGAAUAUGGAAUGACUUCACCUGACUUCACUUGAAAUUCACUUAAUUUUCAACUCUGUUGGCUAUGAGAAAAGGACAUCCAGGCCUCACACAAAAAUGGAUCAAUGAAUUGAAACUCACCAAAUCACCACCACCAGACAACGGGAUGCUGAGUCUCAUUCAUCAUGAUUGCUUCCUGAAGCCUUCUGAGUUCCUGUUUCCCUACACAUUGUUACAUUUCUUCCCUGCAACAUAAACCCCCAAUUUUAGUCCAUCAAGGUUAUAGAUUUGAGACUGAUCUCCCAUUUCCUUGGCUGCAACACCCAAUUAUAGCCUUCUUGGCAAUAAUUGUUGUCUCAGUGAUUGGCUUUCUUUGUGGCCAGCAGCAGGACCUAGACUGAACACCUGAUUUUCUGGUAACAGUAUAAUUUUUCUUCUUUUGUCUAUUGUGGUAGGUUACAUUGUUUGAUUUUUAAAUUAAACUGGCACUGCAUAGCUAGAGUAAAUGUGACUUUGUUGUGUUAAUUUUUAUAUGUUGUUGAAUUUGAUUUUCUUGUGUUAUGUUGAGAAUUUUACAUAUAUCUUUAUAAGAGAUAUUUGCUCGUAAUUAUCUUUUUGUAAAAUAUCUCUGUUUUUGCUAUGAAGGUUAUAAAAGUAAUUUUGGGAGUGCUCCCUAUUUUCUAUUAGAGAAUGAGGGAACUGGUACCAAUACUACCUUAAAUGUUCAAUAGAAUUCACAUUCGAAAUUAUCUAGGACUGGUUAUCUUUUGAGAAAAGUUGUUAAACAUUAUUCAGUGUCUUUAAUAGAUAUAGGCCUGUUCAGUUUAUCUAUUUCUCCCCAUGUGAUCAAUGGAAAUUUGUGUCUUUCACGUGAUUUUUCUAUUUCUUCUAAGUCAUCAACUUGUUGAUAUAAAGUUAUUCACAAUAUUCUUAUCCCUUCAAUGUUCAAAGAUUGUUAUUAAUAUUCAUGAAACUGGUAGUACUGAUCUUGCUUUCUUUUUUGAUAUUGUAUUGCACAUCUUUUCUCUUUUCAUGUUCAU